UCGAGAAUUUUUCACAAUGGGGGCAACCCUGAUGGAGCGACGCCGCGUGGAGGAUGAAGGCCUUCGGGUCGUAAACUCCUGUCACUACAGAACAAGAGUACGAGAGCUAACAUCUUUCGUGCUUGAUAGUAUGUGGAGAGGAAGGGACGGCUAACUCUGUGCCAGCAGCCGCGGUGAUACAGAGGUCCCAAGCGUUGUUCGGAUUUACUGGGCGUAAAGGGUGCGUAGGAGGUCAAGAAAGUCGGAUGUGAAAGCUCACCGCUCAACGGUGAAACUGCAUUCGAAACUCCUUGGCUAGAGGAUCAGAAAGGAAAGCGGAAUUCUUGGUGUAGCGGUGAAAUGCGUAGAUAUCAAGAGGAACGCCAAUGGCGAAAGCAGCUUUCUGGAGGAUUCCUGACUCUGAGGCACGAAGGCUAGGGUAGCAAACA
RNAcentral lists this ribosomal RNA (428 nucleotides) under uncultured prokaryote. RNAcentral describes it as "bacterial SSU rRNA". It matches the Rfam family "Bacterial small subunit ribosomal RNA", at positions 355 to 774 of the family's 1533-position model. The record is from RNAcentral.